This 917-nucleotide ribosomal RNA is filed under the name uncultured archaeon. Its description in RNAcentral is "bacterial SSU rRNA". It matches the Rfam family "Archaeal small subunit ribosomal RNA", at positions 1 to 922 of the family's 1478-position model. The record is from RNAcentral.
GAUUUUCCGGGUUGAUCCCGCCGGACCCGACUGCUAUCGGAUUGGGACUAAGCCAUGCGAGUCAACUCCACAAGGGGUGGCGUACGGCUCAGUAACACGUAGUCAACCUACCCUAGGGACGGGGAUAACCUCGGGAAACUGAGGCUAAACCUCGAUAGGCCAUAACUGCUGGAAUGGGUUAUGGUUUAAAUCUACACGGCCCUAGGAUGGGACUGCGGUCGUUCAGGUUGUUGGUGGGGUAAUGGCCCACCAAGCCUAUAACCGAUGCGGGCUCUGAGAGGAGGAGCCCGGAGAUGGGCACUGAGACAAGGGCCCAGGUCCUAUGGGGCGCAGCAGGCGCGAAACCUCCGCAAUGGGCGAAAGCCCGACGGGGUCAGUCCGAGUGAUUCCUGCUAAAGGAAUCUUUUGCCAGCUGUAAAAAGGCUGGUGAAUAAGGGGUGGGCAAGUUUGGUGUCAGCCGCCGCGGUAAUACCAGCACCCCGAGUGGUCGGGACGAUUAUUGGGCCUAAAGCAUCCGUAGCCGGUCUAGCAAGUCUUCCGUUAAAUCCAACGGCUCAACCGUUGGGCUGCAGAGGAUACUGCUAGGCUAGGGGGCGGGAGAGGCGAGGGGUAUUCCCGGGGUAGGGGUAAAAUCCACUGAUCCCGGGAGGACCACCAGUGGCGAAGGCGCCUCGCUAGAACGCGCCUGACGGUGAGGGAUGAAAGCUGGGGGAGCGAACCGGAUUAGAUACCCGGGUAGUCCCAGCCGUAAACGAUGUAGGCUCGGUGUUGGGUUGCCUUAGUGGCAACCCAGUGCUGCAGGGAAGCCGUUAAGCCUACCGCCUGGGGAGUACGGCCGCAAGGCUGAAACUUAAAGGAAUUGGCGGGGGAGCACCACAAGGGGUGAAGCCUGCGGUUUAAUUGGAGUCAACGCCGGA